Lingula anatina is the source of this 291-nucleotide long non-coding RNA. The record is from RefSeq and is a predicted model, not a curated record. Lineage: Eukaryota; Metazoa; Brachiopoda; Lingulata; Lingulida; Lingulidae.
GAAGCCCUGGCUACGUGUCUAAUCCUGUGGUUUCCUGCCCCGACGGCAGCCACCUCCUCCAUUGCGGUUUGAGUCAUCCGUGGAUUCAAGAUGAGAGUGACCCACAAUUCAAUGUCGUCACUGACGUGGAGAAAAAGCAAUGCAGACUGGAGGGCAAACAAUGUGUGAAGUGUCGUCUGUAUGCCUAUUGCAUUUCCGUAGGCAAAUAAAGCCCAGUUGUUGUUAUUACACGCGCACGGAAGACAUCAAUGCAGCAGGAAAAAUGCAAGCAGAAUGAUAGUACUAAUCGGC